GAUCAAAAAUCUUAAACUACAAUAGAAUAUAAAAUUCUUCGAUACAAUCAGCUUAAAUGUAAAAACGCCAACAAUAAACUUAUCAAAUAAACAUUCUUAAUUUUUCUCUUGGUACAUAAACCUUCUUCAAGUUACAUUACAUGAUUAGAUCUAUGCGAUAACUCGUUAGAACUUGAGUUUCAUAUGACGAUCUUGCGUAUUUGGACAACAUACAUUGAGAUGUACAAUAUAUAGAACUUGAGUUUCAUAUGACGAUCUUGCGUAUUUGGAAAACAUACAUGGAGAUGUACAAUAUAUAAUGGAUUUAUAUGAGAAAUUGAAUAAAUUUUCAGAAUAUAGAGCCAUAUUUCUCCAAUGGAAACUAAUAUACAAAUAUAAAUAUAAAAAAAAUCAACCCCAUAAUCUAUUACCAUGAAAAUAAAAAUACACAAUACAUU
This 437-nucleotide long non-coding RNA is filed under the name Medicago truncatula (barrel medic). RNAcentral's name for it is "long non-coding RNA (MTRU_LNC001681)". Lineage: Eukaryota; Viridiplantae; Streptophyta; Magnoliopsida; Fabales; Fabaceae. The record is from RNAcentral.